This 440-nucleotide ribosomal RNA is filed under the name uncultured bacterium. RNAcentral's name for it is "bacterial SSU rRNA". It matches the Rfam family "Bacterial small subunit ribosomal RNA", at positions 338 to 771 of the family's 1533-position model. The record is from RNAcentral.
CCUACGGGAGGCUGCAGUUUCGAAUCAUUCACAAUGGGCGAAAGCCUGAUGGUGCGACGCCGCGUGAGGGAUGAAGGCCUUCGGGUUGUAAACCUCUGUCACCGGGGAAGAAACGCUUCACGUUAAUAGCUUGAAGCCUGACUUAACCCGGAGAGGAAGCAGUGGCUAACUCUGUGCCAGCAGCCGCGGUAAUACAGAGACUGCAAGCGUUAUUCGGAUUCACUGGGCGUAAAGGGUGCGCAGGCGGCCAAGUGUGUCAGAUGUGAAAUCCCGAGGCUUAACCUCGGAACUGCGUCUGAAACUACUUGGCUAGAGUACUGGAGAGGGUAACGGAAUUCACGGUGUAGCAGUGAAAUGCGUAGAUAUCGUGAGGAACACCAGAGGCGAAGGCGGUUACCUGGACAGUUACUGACGCUCAGGCACGAAAGCGUGGGGAGCAA